Ostrinia nubilalis (European corn borer) is the source of this 609-nucleotide long non-coding RNA. RefSeq lists it as uncharacterized. The record is from RefSeq and is a predicted model, not a curated record. NCBI's taxonomy places the organism in Eukaryota, Metazoa, Arthropoda, Insecta, Lepidoptera, Crambidae. The transcript is spliced from 3 exons.
GUGUAUUGCGCUGUGUACAUUUUUGUCUUUGGUAGGUUAAGUUCUAGGUAGGUAUGUACAGUAGGUACCUAUAGACUGAAGUAGACUAAAUAAAACCAGUCAGCCGAACUAAAAGCGUUUCAGUCGCAUUCAGACAGUGCUGAAGACUUUCGUCCAGUGUAUCGCUUUCAGAACAAGCAAGUUCUGCUGUGUAAGGAGUCUCAUAUAACAAUGGGGAUACUUUCGGCUAUCGUAGUCAACGUCGUUGGAGGCGCAGUGAUCUAUGGCACCGGGGGCCUGGGCGCAGCGUGGGUGGCCCCUUGGCUGGGCUUCAGCACCGGCGGAAUUUUGGCUGGCAGCACCGCCGCCGCCGCCCAGGCGUACUAUGGCAACCUGGCUGCUGGGAGUAUCGUCUCUCAGCUAACUGCCGUUGCCAUGGCUGCCCCUACUCCAUAAGAAGACUGCUAAGCUGUUAGCAUCAAUGGUGCAGUAGGUACCUACCUACUCAUCAUUCCACGAAGAAGAUAAAUGGGUACCUAACUACUACCUAAGAUGCCUACUACUCCCAUAUAAGUGUUGUUUCGUUUUGUUACUCUGAUAACAGUAAUAAAGAAACAAACCUAUUGCUUA